Molecule: long non-coding RNA, 2805 nt
Organism: Leopardus geoffroyi (Geoffroy's cat)
Lineage: Eukaryota; Metazoa; Chordata; Mammalia; Carnivora; Felidae
Exons: 4
Source: RefSeq, a predicted model, not a curated record
ACACGUCCUCUGGGGUGCAGAUGAAAACAGGAUAAGAUGUCCUCUGCUCUGUUGGUUAAUUGGCCCGGCAAGCUUCCAUUAAGACUUGUACUUUCCGGAGGGUCUGUGCUUAAAAGGGCCUCCUUUUAAGAUGAUGACUGCUCCUCAACCACGUGACUCUCGGUCGCUGGUGUUGUGCACACCAACAGCUGCUCGACAGCUGGCCGGGCUUCUGGACUCACGGGGUGGCUGGCUGACAGGGAGCUCCAUGACGGCCACAGGAGUUCCAGCUCAAGAAUCACCAAUAGUCUCCUUAGAAAUGGGCCACCGCCCAGCACCUGCCUCCCGCCUGACUCAGGGUGACUGCAGUGUGGAUUUUGGCCGGUGGAUACCAAGCACCAAAUUCAUGUGUGGCGGCCAGGGGACCACCCAGCCCUGAACCGCUGGCCUGCUACGCUACAGGGUGGGUUAUUUUCGUGCGCGGACUUGUUUUUCCUGGCAGGGGGACGGCCACAUACUUCAUGGCAGCAAGUCGUGGAGCCUCUGUGGGCUCUAUUUACACAGCGGGGGGGAGAGAGAUGCACUUUUUUGUGUGUGUAAACAGAACGGUUUAUAACUGCCUGUCCUGAUAGAUGCGGGCCCCUCCUGCAUGCGGAUAAUAUGUACAAUAUGUGUAGUGCUUUGGAAGGUACCAGCAACACCUCUGGCCAAGCACUGCUGUUCUGAAUAACCCUCCUCGGCAGUGCGGGCUAAUGAAUGCCAGGAAGAAGCCCACAGCGGUGGUGACCAGGGAAUCCUGGGAUCCUCAGGAAGUGGGGAAGAUCCCUGAUGCCCUUCGCUCAUGAUCUACCUUAUACAAUGGUCUCCCACCACCACGUCUGUCCAAUCUGAGCACGGAAUACCUCCAGCCGUCAGACGCUCACAGCCCAGGACCUUGGCUAUUCCAUGGGGGUUGGCUCAGCUUUUAGAAAGUUCUUUCUUAGUGUAGUCAAAAUCUACCCUCUAAGUGUUCACCUUGGGGCUCUUUGGGGUCAGAUAAGGUCCAAUCCCCCCUUUCCUGGAACUGCUCUGCGCUUCGGGAGGUAGAGCUCUUGAUCGGGGUUGAACUGCUUCGGCCUCUUCAGCUGGCUCUCCUACAACCUGGUUUUGACCCCUUUCACCAGCUCUCCAAGCCCCAUUCCCUUUUCUAGAAGUGUGGCUCCCAGGUGUGAACUGAGUAGCUGGAGAGAGGGGGCUGACAGUCCCUCGCAUCCUCUGAGAGGCAGGAGGCCCCUUCUACCAAAUGAGAAGUGGGGUUCCCAUCUCCUGGCCUCAGGCUGGCGAGCACCCCACUCUGUUAGCCACAAGGUCUGUGGAAUGGGUGCUCCUGGGGCUCUGAGUAGAUGGCUCCGUUGCUGGCUAAGAGCUUACGCUCUCCCUGUUCUGCAUUUCCCCUCGUGUGGAAAACGGAAAUACUAAACCAGGUUAAUAACAUUUUACUAACAACAAGAAGCCCUCGUUAUGAGUGUAGUGCCUUGGGCGCUUUUACAAGCAUCUUACACUCUCCAGAGUAGAGCAACCGAGGAGCUGGGUUCCUGCCCCAUGGUACAGCUGAGGAAACUGAGGCUCAGGGGAGUGAGAUGACGUGACCAUGGCCCUGGGUAGAUGGCAACACGACCCAGGAAUAGAACCGGGGGUUUUUGAGGCCAAAUCAAAUGUUUUUCCCGUGUCCUCAAACAGCUCUCUUGCGUGCAGGGGAGAUAAGACUUUCUCCUAAUGAAACAACCAAAAUUUGAAUCCUGUGUUUGUUCUCUGGCACACCGGGGACAAAUGUGAGGCCUCGGGUCAUGCCCUUCGUCCCCUUCAUGCAGCACUGUUGAGUCCAUGAAGCAGAGGCCAAGGGAAAGGGCUGAGUCUAGUGGUCCCCUCUUUGCUGCAAUGUCCUGGCCCGGAGACCAGAGCCAGACAUGCCCGCCCAGCUGGGGCCUGGUUUGAGCCUCCCCAGGAUGGUGGCAGGUGUCUGCUCUGUCACUCUCCUCAGUGCCUGGAAGUCCAAGGCCAUGAGGACUGGCUGUCUUCCCGGAAAACACAGGUCACUGUCUGGUCGGCCUGUCCUUGAGCCCAGGCCUAGCUCUGUCCCAUGGCAGGAUAUGGACGGGGAGCGGCGAACUGUCCUCCUCCUCUCUCCCGGGUAGGACAGCAGGCUCCCAGACCUGGGAAAACCUCCAGGAGGAGCACUUGGCACUUGCAGAGGCUGGAUUUUCUGCGUGGCAGGAUGAGAGCUCCACAGAGACGGUGUGGACCCAGAAGCCUGGACCACUCAGAGCCCCGAGAGGCUGAGUCACACCCACAUGUGUGAGAAACACCGACAGUGUCACAGCAUCGAAGGAUGUUGGAAAUCGAAGACAGCUGGAUUCCAGGCUGCUUGUCCAAACCUUCUCCUGAAGGAGGAACCUGUUCUCCAAAGUUCUCAAAGAUGAUCCUUCCCACCCUCCCUUCCACAAAUAUUUGGAGCACCCACACUUUGUCAGGCACUGCGCUGGUCCUGGGGCAGUAAUGGAGACAGAUAUGGGCCUCGUCCUCACCGAGCUGACAGUCUAGCACUUGAAAGUCUCUGCAAUUUCUGUUGAAUACCUCCAGUAACAGGAUGCUCGCCACCUUACAGGACAGCCUCUUUUUUUUUUUUUUUUUUUUUUUCCGGUCAGUUUUUCCUUAUUUAAACUGUAAUGCUUGUUCUGACCUCUGGGGCUAUACAAAACAAGUCUAACCCCAUUUCCUAUGUCAGUGCCCUUAGAACGUGGAAAAAUAAACAUGGUACGCUCAGAAAACAUUCUCACUCUCCAGUUU